UACGUAGGGGGCGAGCGUUAUCCGGAUUCACUGGGUGUAAAGGGAGCGUAGACGGCCAUGCAAGCCAGGGGUGAAAGCCCGGGGCCCAACCCCGGGACUGCCCUUGGAACUGCAUGGCUGGAGUGCGGGAGGGGCAGGCGGAAUUCCUGGUGUAGCGGUGAAAUGCGUAGAUAUCAGGAGGAACACCGGCGGCGGAGGCGGCCUGCUGGACCGCGACUGACGUUGAGGCUCGAAAGCGUGGGGAGCGAACAGG
This 253-nucleotide ribosomal RNA is filed under the name uncultured bacterium. Its description in RNAcentral is "partial 16S ribosomal RNA". It matches the Rfam family "Bacterial small subunit ribosomal RNA", at positions 524 to 776 of the family's 1533-position model. The record is from RNAcentral.